CGGGCUGAUUCUGGAUUCGACGGGAUUUGCGAAACCCAAGGUGCAUGCCGAGGGGCGGUUGGCCUCGUAAAAAGCCGCAAAAAAUAGUCGCAAACGACGAAAACUACGCUUUAGCAGCUUAAUAACCUGCUUAGAGCCCUCUCUCCCUAGCCUCCGCUCUUAGGACGGGGAUCAAGAGAGGUCAAACCCAAAAGAGAUCGCGUGGAAGCCCUGCCUGGGGUUGAAGCGUUAAAACUUAAUCAGGCUAGUUUGUUAGUGGCGUGUCCGUCCGCAGCUGGCAAGCGAAUGUAAAGACUGACUAAGCAUGUAGUACCGAGGAUGUAGGAAUUUCGGACGCGGGUUCAACUC
Molecule: transfer-messenger RNA, 348 nt
Filed under: Agromyces agglutinans
Lineage: Bacteria; Bacillati; Actinomycetota; Actinomycetes; Micrococcales; Microbacteriaceae
Rfam family: transfer-messenger RNA
About the family: Bacterial tmRNA, also known as 10Sa RNA or SsrA, is named for its dual tRNA and mRNA-like properties. Its role is to liberate the mRNA from a stalled ribosome. To accomplish this part of the tmRNA is used as a reading frame that ends in a translation stop signal.
Source: Rfam by way of RNAcentral